ACGUCUCUCUCUCUCUGUGUGUGUGUGUGAGAGAGAAUUAAAAGAAAAAAACAUACACGCCGCAGGUGGCCUUCCGUAUUUGAGUUGUUAACCGAGCUGCUGAGGCUCAACCUGGGGUUAAAGAAAAGUUGUGUCGUAGCAAGGUAAAAUGAUCUUCUCUUUGCGGGACUUUAAUUAACCGGCGGUUGCGGGUAAGAUCCUGAUCAGAUUGCUCCACAGACCAGAGUGUUGAAUUAAACUAAGGCGUCAAGCUUUGUACUACGUGUUGCUGCUGCUGCUCUUGUGAUGUUACCGGCGACGGGCAGUUACUCCGGUAGCUCUGCGCCUGAGUAGUAAGGUGCUGUUUCUGAACUCAAGCUUCUGGGGAAAUGACCAUCUCUUUCGUGCGCCUUGUGGACAUCUUAUUUGCUACACAACGCGCCCCGGCCGCCGUGAGAUUGCGAAGGCGAAAAGUUUCCGAUGAAUUUUGUUUGUUUUGCGCUCUGACAGUUCACUGCCACCGCUUUGAGUUCUGGUGUCUUGGAAAUGCCUCUGUGGAAGCCUGCGCAGGAACACCAGGAGCCAGAUCCGCAGAAAUGGAAGCUCUUGGAUUCACAACAGCACUGCUUUCAGCAUCGACCUCUUGCUGCGGAGCCUCUUCAGCCCACUUCCCUGGAAGAGAAAAUGUAGAUUGGUGUUACUCCUGCCCAUUGAGAGAACCCUCGCUUUGCUUUUGUUUAGAAUCCAUUUUCAUUAAGGAAUAAACUUGACUAAAAAGCGCAUGUUUCCAGACCAGAAUUUUUCUCUCUUUAACAUGUGCUUGAAUUGUUUUUUUUUUUUUUGUUCCUUUACCCACCUACAAAACAUCCUUAAGGUACUGAGGGAUUUGCACACUUCUGUGAGAAAUUGCUUACUAAAUCGUUUAAUGCUCUGCAUCAGUUAAAGGUGUGUACUCUCAGGCAUACGCUUAGUUAAAUGCACAAGGUCACUGUUUUCUGGUCUUAAAUUUAUUUAAAACCUUAAGAUGAUACUGUCUUUCUUAUCUCUGCAGCUCAUCAGUGGUGGGAUGAAGUGAGUCCUCCUGUAUGGAAAGCGCUAUAUACAGUGGGCGUAGAAAGUGAAAGUGUAGAAAAUAUUGAUUCCUGUCUAUUUUGUCGUGUCACAUCUGGAAGACUUGAUAUUCUUUUUUCCACCUUUUGAGCUGUGCAAUGUCCUCUGCAAUAUCCAUCUGUUUUAAAGUUUGGAGCAAGAAAAUAAAUUGGUUAAAAGUUAAAAAACAGUUAAAAUCUUAAUUGGGAGUAGUAUUCAGCCCCUUAGCAUUAACUCUCCUUAAUUGGCUCACCCAGUUGCCUUCAGACUUUGUGCAAAUGUUGAUUGGAAUCCACCUGUGUGCAAUCAAAGUGGUUAACCAUC
Molecule: long non-coding RNA, 1392 nt
Organism: Lepisosteus oculatus (spotted gar)
Lineage: Eukaryota; Metazoa; Chordata; Actinopteri; Semionotiformes; Lepisosteidae
Source: RefSeq, a predicted model, not a curated record